Molecule: ribosomal RNA, 859 nt
Filed under: uncultured bacterium
Lineage: Bacteria
Description: bacterial SSU rRNA
Rfam family: Bacterial small subunit ribosomal RNA
Source: RNAcentral
UACGUAGGGUGCGAGCGUUAAUCGGAAUUACUGGGCGUAAAGCGUGCGCAGGCGGUUUGGUAAGACAGAUGUGAAAUCCCCGGGCUUAACCUGGGAACUGCAUUUGUGACUGCCAGACUAGAGUGUAGCAGAGGGGGGUAGAAUUCCACGUGUAGCAGUGAAAUGCGUAGAGAUGUGGAGGAAUACCGAUGGCGAAGGCAGCCCCCUGGGCUAACACUGACGCUCAUGCACGAAAGCGUGGGGAGCAAACAGGAUUAGAUACCCUGGUAGUCCACGCCCUAAACGAUGUCAACUAGGUGUUGGGGAAGGAGACUUCUUUAGUACCGCAGCUAACGCGUGAAGUUGACCGCCUGGGGAGUACGGUCGCAGGAUUAAAACUCAAAGGAAUUGACGGGGACCCGCACAAGCGGUGGAUUAUGUGGAUUAAUUCGAUGCAACGCGAAAAACCUUACCUACCCUUGACAUGUCAGGAAGAUUCCAGAGAUGGGAUUGUGCCCGAAAGGGAACCUGAACACAGGUGCUGCAUGGCUGUCGUCAGCCCGUGUCGUGAGAUGUUGGGUUAAGUCCCGCAACGAGCGCAACCCUUGUCAUUAAUUGCCAUCAUUUAGUUGGGCACUUUAAUGAGACUGCCGGUGAUAAACCGGAGGAAGGUGGGGAUGACGUCAAGUCCUCAUGGCCCUUAUGGGUAGGGCUUCACACGUAAUACAAUGGUCGGUACAGAGGGUUGCCAACCCGCGAGGGGGAGCUAAUCUCAGAAAGCCGAUCGUAGUCCGGAUCGGAGUCUGCAACUCGACUCCGUGAAGUCGGAAUCGCUAGUAAUCGCGGAUCAGCAUGUCGCGGUGAAUACGUUCCCGGGUCU